RNAcentral lists this ribosomal RNA (1233 nucleotides) under metagenome. Its description in RNAcentral is "bacterial LSU rRNA". It matches the Rfam family "Bacterial large subunit ribosomal RNA", at positions 1674 to 2925 of the family's 2925-position model. The record is from RNAcentral.
AAAGAUUCUAAGGCCAACGGGAGAAGGGUUGUUAAGGAACUCGGCAAAUUGACCCCGUAACUUCGGGAGAAGGGGUGCUGCAGAGAUGCAGCCGCAGAGAAUCGGCCCAAGCAACUGUCUACCAAAAACACAGGUUUGUGCUAAAUCGAAAGAUGACGUAUACGAGCUGACGCCUGCCCGGUGCUGGAAGGUUAAGAGGAGAUGUGCAAGCAUUGAAUCGAAGCCCCAGUGAACGGCGGCCGUAACAAUAACGGUCCUAAGGUAGCGAAAUUCCUUGUCAGGUAAGUUCUGACCCGCAUGAAAGGCGUAAUGAUUUGGGCACUGUCUCAACAGCCCGCCCGGCGAAAUUGUAGUACCGGUGAAGAUGCCGGUUACCCGCGACAAGACGGAAAGACCCCAUGGAGCUUUACUGUAGCCUAAUAUUGGGUUUCGAUGUUGCAUGCACAGGAUAGAUGGGACUCUUGGAAACGAUCGCUUUGGCGGUCGCGGAGAGGCCGUUGGGAUACCAUCCUUGCGAUAUUGGAAUUCUAACCUGCGCCUUUGAAUCAAGGCGGGGGACAUUGUUAGGUGGGCAGUUUGACUGGGGCGGUCGCCUCCUAAAGAGUAACGGAGGCGUUCAAAGGUUCGCUCAGCUUGAACGGAAAUCAAGCAAAAGAGUGCAGACGCAGAAGCGAGCCUAACUGCGAGACUGACGGGUCGAGCAGUAACGAAAGUUGGAGUUAGUGAUCCGGUGGUAUGUGAGUGGAAAUGCCAUCGCUCAACGGAUAAAAGUUACCCUGGGGAUAACAGGCUGAUCUCCCCCAAGAGUCCACAUCGACGGGGAGGUUUGGCACCUCGAUGUCGGCUCAUCGCAUCCUGGGGCUGUAUUCGGUCCCAAGGGUUUGGCUGUUCGCCAAUUAAAGCGGUACGCGAGCUGGGUUCAGAACGUCGUGAGACAGUUCGGUCCCUAUCUGUCGUGGGCGCAGGAUAUUUGAUGGGAGCUGUUCCUAGUACGAGAGGACCGGAGCGGACGUACCUCUGGCGCACCAGUUGUUCUGCCAAGGGCAUAGCUGGGCAACUAUGUACGGAUCGGAUAAACGCUGAAAGCAUCUAAGCGUGAAGCCGACCCAAAGAUAAGAUAUCCCAUUGUUUCAAACAAGUAAGACCCCUUGAAGACUACAAGGUUGAUAGGCACGAUGUGUAAGUGGAGUGAUCCAUUCAGCAAGCGUGUACUAAUAGGUCGAGGGCUUGACC